GGGCGAUUAGCUCAGCGGUAGAGCGUCUCCUUUACACGGAGAGGGUCGGGGGUUCGAUCCCCUCAUCGCCCACCA
Molecule: transfer RNA, 75 nt
Filed under: Azospirillum sp.
Lineage: Bacteria; Pseudomonadati; Pseudomonadota; Alphaproteobacteria; Rhodospirillales; Azospirillaceae
Also listed under: 2 other names
Description: tRNA-Val
Rfam family: tRNA
About the family: Transfer RNA (tRNA) molecules are approximately 80 nucleotides in length. Their secondary structure includes four short double-helical elements and three loops (D, anti-codon, and T loops).
Source: RNAcentral